UAAAAGCCACUUUGUUUACUCUAUACAAAGCAGUGUUGUAGGCUGGAGUCAUGUUGUGCUCUGGUAACAAGGGCUGAUUGCUUGUAUUUUUUUAAUUCAUGCUCAGGAGUUGAAAAGCUACCAUGAUGUUUACGUCUCUGAUUUGAGGGGCACAAAAUUAGAGUAGCCUCAACUUACGCUUUUGAGUUACAGGAGCUGUAGUAGUUCUGAGGGAUCAUUCUGCAGGAGGGCAUUGCAUUUGGUAUCUCCAUAAUGUGUCUGCACUGAGACUUCAGCUGACGUGAUCUAUUUAUUCAACAAGGGAACCUUCACGACACCAUUUCACUAGCUACUCGACAUGCAGAAAUGGUGGCAAUUGAUCAGGUCCUGGACUGGUGCCGGCAAAACAAUAAAAAUCACGAGGAAGUGUUUUCAAACUCAGUACUGUACGUAACCGUAGAGCCUUGUAUCAUGUGUGCGGCUGCCGUGCGCUUGAUGAGUAUCCUUUAAUGGUUUUCAUGCUGGGAAACCGCACGUCCAAAUGUUAGUUGUUUGGUAGCCAGCCUACAGAGAGGGGCUGGACACUGUCAGGCAAAGCCAACAGGGUUACCAUCUUAUUGCUUGAGAAUCUGUGCCAUCCUCCAUUUACUGCAUGGUAAGUAAUGAGAGAUUCAAGAACAAAAGAGGAAUGUUGCAGUUACGACAAACAAUGAUUUCUCUUAGCGAUAUAAAAAUACACUUUAGAAAUAAUUGCUAUUACAUAAAAUCAGCUAGUCUCAGUUCAGUGUUCAGUUUUGAACAGUGUAAGAGGUAGUAAAACAUGGCUUUGUAUGUCUCUGUUUUGGGAUUCAUGCUUCUGAGGAACGUUAUGCAUCUUCGGCAGCGCAUCUUAGAUUAUUCAGAAAUAAGUUCUGAUUUUAGGAGGGAGGAAUUACAGUGCAGACUAAUGUAGUUUGAAAAGCACAAGUACAUUUUAGUGAAAUUUAAUGACUACUUUAAUCAGGCUACUUUACUUCCUGCUUGGUUUUCACUUAAUACCUUAACUCAUUCACAUAAAUUCCACGGGUCAUAUAUGGCUGUCAAAAUGAGCGAUUUGGAGGCUGUGGCUCAGUUUUGAGCAUCUCAUCUGAUGAUAUGGUAGACACAGGAGAACCAUUUGAAUGCAUUUCUGGCUAUUAUGCCAAAGAAGCAGUGGAACUGUUAAAAGCUUUCUACAGACAAGAAAAUCCUAAUGCACCAAAAUCAAAAGUACGGAAAAAAGACCAUCGUAAGUAGGCCUACGCUGAUGUGAAACAGAAGUUUACAAAAACAUUGUGUGUGAAGGUUUCUUCAGCAUCCUUCUUUUUCAGAAUGUAUGGUCAAAUUAAACUAUGUUAAAUAUGUUCUAUGUGGUGUUUUUACUAAUGAGAUACUACCUGUUCCUGCGUCUCUGCCUAUGUCUGUGAUUUCUUGUUAUUAUAUAUUACCAAGCAGAAGAAUAAGUGACUCUUCUUGGGUGAGGGGAAGAUUUAUGGUUCCGGUUGAGAUGUUUACAGCCAGAUGGACCCACUAAAAUGAAGCCAUUCUGUACAGCACAUUCUAGGAUAUUUUCUUCUGCCUGGAGAAGCAUCUUGCAUUUCAAUAGCAAAUGUUUGCUUAGGGAAGUACGUAAAUCUCUUGGAAGGUUACAUUUGUGAGGCCUUCACAGUCCUGGUGCAUAUGUUUAAUCAAAAGACUAUAAGGCACUGUAUGUUCCUUGAAGAUUUGAGAUAAAACUGUUGUAACAGUUCUUCAUUGUUUUUUACACCCCCUCUAGCAUACACCAAAAUUUCAAACAAGUUCUAAAAGUCGUAUAGAUAUCUAGACAUGGAUAUAUGCAAAACAGCGUGUUUCAAUUUGCAUAUGCUAUUGCUAAUAAGCAUAAACAGACAUCACUUGGCUUUUCAUACAGCAGCAUUUUCAUACAAAGUUGUGGAGAAUGUGAAAUCUCAUCAGACUAUCCACUCCUCUCAUGAAUAUUAGCACAAGAAAUGCUUUAUCAUUAAGAAUCUGCUAAGAGUUAGCUACUGCAUUAUACUAAUUAAAAUGGUCAGAUACAUGUGAAAACAAGGACAUGAAAUUGCUAAUAGAAUGAAUAAAAUAUUUGAGAUACUGUA
Cygnus atratus (black swan) is the source of this 2114-nucleotide RNA transcript. It is a transcript of the gene named adenosine deaminase tRNA specific 2, with no coding region annotated. The transcript is spliced from 4 exons. NCBI's taxonomy places the organism in Eukaryota, Metazoa, Chordata, Aves, Anseriformes, Anatidae. The record is from RefSeq and is a predicted model, not a curated record.